RNAcentral lists this transfer-messenger RNA (391 nucleotides) under Lachnospiraceae. Its description in RNAcentral is "RUG306 sp900313435 Standard tmRNA". It matches the Rfam family "transfer-messenger RNA". From Rfam's summary of the family: Bacterial tmRNA, also known as 10Sa RNA or SsrA, is named for its dual tRNA and mRNA-like properties. Its role is to liberate the mRNA from a stalled ribosome. The record is from RNAcentral. Lineage: Bacteria; Bacillati; Bacillota; Clostridia; Lachnospirales. RNAcentral also lists the same sequence under 1 other name.
GGGCCAGUAAUGGUUUCGACGGGGAUAAGGAGGACUAAACUGCAUGCGGAAGCUGAGGGACUUCCUAAAAACUCUCACCUAAAAUUAGUUGCAAAAGAAGACAACUACGCUCUUGCAGCUGCCUGACCUUAGGUCAGCAGUCUGACUCUCAUAAGAGAAUAAGCACUUCUUUAGACCACGGUCUUCGGCAACGGAGAAGUGUUAAAGUAAAGAGGACCAAAGGCGUGAAUUUGCGGAUUAGCGCGCCGGAUAAGGAAUUUUCGCCGGUCGGAGGAAAGGCUGUCAUUCACUGAAAAUCUCCGGUCGUCAAAACCCCAAUGAAUGACUAAGCAUGUAGACGUUUUUUAAGAAUUAUCUUCGGACACGGGUUCGACUCCCGUCUGGUCCAUCU